Molecule: ribosomal RNA, 327 nt
Filed under: uncultured eukaryote
Lineage: Eukaryota
Description: partial 18S ribosomal RNA
Rfam family: Eukaryotic small subunit ribosomal RNA
Source: RNAcentral
CCCUUAGAUGUUCUGGGCCGCACGCGCGCUACACUGACGGAUUCAACGAGCUUACAACCUUGGCCGAAAGGUCUGGGUAAUCUCCAAAAUCCGUCGUGAUGGGGAUAGAUUAUUGCAAUUAUUAAUCUUCAACGAGGAAUGCCUAGUAAGCGCAAGUCAUCAGCUUGCGUUGAUUACGUCCCUGCCCUUUGUACACACCGCCCGGCGCUCCUACCGAUUGAAUGGUCCGGUGAAGCGUUUGGACUAUGGUUUUCUGAUGGUCCGCCGUUGGAUUACCGUGGGAAGUUCGUUAAACCUUAUCAUUUAGAGGAAGGAGAAGUCGUAACA